RNAcentral lists this ribosomal RNA (506 nucleotides) under uncultured bacterium. RNAcentral describes it as "partial 16S ribosomal RNA". It matches the Rfam family "Bacterial small subunit ribosomal RNA", at positions 29 to 523 of the family's 1533-position model. The record is from RNAcentral.
AGUGAACGCUGGCGGUAGGCCUAACACAUGCAAGUCGAACGGCAGCACAGGAGAGCUUGCUCUCUGGGUGGCGAGUGGCGGACGGGUGAGGAAUACAUCGGAAUCUACUCUGUCGUGGGGGAUAACGUAGGGAAACUUACGCUAAUGCCGCAUACGACCUACGGGUGAAAGCAGGGGACCUUCGGGCCUUGCGCGAUUGAAUGAGCCGAUGUCGGAUUAGCUAGUUGGCGGGGUAAAGGCCCACCAAGGCGACGAUCCGUAGCUGGUCUGAGGGGAUGAUCGGCCAAACUGGAACUGAGACACGGUCCAGACUCCUACGGGAGGCAGCAGUGGGGAAUAUUGGACAAUGGGCGCAAGCCUGAUCCAGCCAUACCGCGUGGGUGAAGAAGGCCUUCGGGUUGUAAAGCCCUUUUGUUGGGAAAGAAAUCCAGCUGGCUAAUACCCGGUUGGGAUGACGGUACCCAAAGAAUAAGCACCGGCUAACUUCGUGCCAGCCGCCGCAGUAA